GACAGAGGAGGCAAGCGUUAUCCGGAAUUAUUGGGCGUAAAGCGUAUGUAGGUGGCUUGUCAAGUCCUUUGUCAAAGCGUGGAGCUUAACUCCAUAACGGCGAGGGAAACUGACAGGCUAGAGUACAGCAGGGGCAGGAGGAAUUCCCGGUGUAGCGGUGAAAUGCGUAGAUAUCGGGAAGAACACCAGUGGCGCAAGCGUUCUGCUGGGCUGUAACUGACACUGAGGCACGAAAGCUAGGGGAGCGAAAGGG
RNAcentral lists this ribosomal RNA (253 nucleotides) under uncultured bacterium. RNAcentral describes it as "partial 16S ribosomal RNA". It matches the Rfam family "Bacterial small subunit ribosomal RNA", at positions 524 to 776 of the family's 1533-position model. The record is from RNAcentral.